This 468-nucleotide ribosomal RNA is filed under the name uncultured bacterium. Its description in RNAcentral is "partial 16S ribosomal RNA". It matches the Rfam family "Bacterial small subunit ribosomal RNA", at positions 28 to 507 of the family's 1533-position model. The record is from RNAcentral.
GACGAACGCUGGCGGCGUGCUUAACACAUGCAAGUCGAACGGAAAGGCCCUGCUUUUGUGGGGUGCUCGAGUGGCGAACGGGUGAGUAACACGUGAGUAACCUGCCCUUAACUUUGGGAUAACUUCAGGAAACUGGGGCUAAUACCGGAUAGGAGCUCCUGCUGCUUGGUGGGGGUUGGAAAGUUUCGGCGGUUGGGGAUGGACUCGCGGCUUAUCAGCUUGUUGGUGGGGUAGUGGCUUACCAAGGCUUUGACGGGUAGCCGGCCUGAGAGGGUGACCGGCCACAUUGGGACUGAGAUGCGGCCCAGACUCCUACGGGAGGCAGCAGUGGGGAAUAUUGCACAAUGGGCGGAAGCCUGAUGCAGCAACGCCGCGUGCGGGAUGACGGCCUUCGGGUUGUAAACCGCUUUCGCCUGUGACGAAGCGUGAGUGACGGUAAUGGGUAAAGAAGCACCGGCUAACUACGUG